GUAUUGGGGUGCUUUGAAUAUCAAGAGGCUGAUGACACUGGACUGGGAUUCUGCAUGAGAAUUACCUGAGAGUUGUCCUUUCCAGUGUCACCUAGGGACCUCAUGUCUCUCACUUGCUUGAGACCCCAGCAGCUGUAGUCACAGUCCUGCUACCCUAUGGCUGUGAACACCUUUGGAGUGUUGCAUUUAUAUUAUGCUAUAAAUAGUACCUGAAAAAAGAUAAGAUAGUUUCUGCCCUGAUGAACUCACAGGCUGUGAGAAAGCUAGACAAAUGAAUGAUGUCAGUUCACCAUAGGAGUCUAGGGGAGAGCAAAGACCAUCUCUCUUCCCAAAGCAUUUUGCCCCACUGCUUGCUUUUGUAAAUAAAGUUUUAUUGGAACACAACUCUGCCCAGUCCUAUCCAUAUCAUGAAUGGCUGCUCUAUCAUGAUGCAAUGGCAGGGUUGACUGGUUUUAGCAGAGAAUAUAUUGUCUAUGGAGCCAAAAUAACUUACUGUCUGGCCCUGUCCAGAGCCAGUUUGCCAGCUGCUGCCAUAGAGGAUCCAAUCUGAUUUAAUUCCUAGAUGGCUCAAUGUGUCACUGUGAAACCUAGAAGGCUGUAGAACAGUGAGUGGCUUUAGCAAACUGUGCUGUGGAAUGUCGCCAGCUUCUCCACCAUGAAGUGAGGGAAGAAGCGCCCCUGGGGAAGCUCCCCUGUGGAGCUAACUCUAUGCUCAGUUUAACUGGCUUUGCACUCACAGGGGGCGGCCCUCUGCCUCUGUUCCCAAGUAGGAGAGAGUUGUUGAGAAGGAACAAGGAGCUAGUUCUAAGUACUUUAAAAAUGAGAAGCUAAUGACUGCCAGGUAAGCAGAGUGGCAUACACUGUCUCACAACACAGGAGGCUGAGGCAGGAGAGUCUUGAGUUUCUGAUCAGCCUGGGCUACAUAGCCAUAUUCAUCUCAAAAGCAAAACAAAAGAAGUAUGAACUCCCAGUGUCUUGUGGGGAUUUGAAAAGCCUGGCCCAUGUAGCCACAAGUGACCUAUGGAUGUGUCACCUUAUUUGGAAAAUUUCUUCAGCCCCCAACUACCUUGAGACAUCCACUCCUGCCCAGAGGUUUUAUACUGGGCUGUAUUGGGCUCAUAGCUAUAUUUUCUCAUUCAAAAUUGAUUCCAUAUGAAUUCCUGGAUGUUCCAUUCUCAUAAUGAGGGGCUUUGGGUACACUGAGCCUGCCUUGUUACUCGGGCUCAGUUCUCUAGUGAUGAACAGUAGUAUUUUAGGAUUUUGUUGCAGUGAAGAGACACCAUGACCAUAGAUGGCAAUGACAACUCUUAUAAAGGAAAACACUUAAUUGGGGCUGGCUUAGAGUUUCAGAGGUACAGCCCAUUAUUAUGGCAGGAAGCAUGGCAGCAUACAAGCAGAUACGGUGUUGGAGAAAGAGCUGAAGAAUUCUACAUCUUUAUCCAAAGGCAGCAAGGAGAGACUGUUCUGCACCCAGCAUAGCUGGAACACAGGAGACCUCUAUGCCUGCCCCCACACUUCCUCCAACAAGACCACAUCUACUCUAACAAUGCCACACCUCCUAAUAAUGCCAUUUCCUAUGGCCAAGCAUUCAAACAGGAGUAUAUGAGGGUUGUACCUAUUUAAACUACAUGUGCCUGCCCCGUUAACUGCCCCGUUGGAUAUGUGCUGAUAGAGCAGCUGUAACAGAAACCUUGGCCAUGCAAACCUCUGCCUGGAAUCCUCUGAGCACUAAGACCUUCUGGCUGGUGGCAGCAGCCUUCAAGAGCACACGUUUCAUGACACAUAUAGGCCCUCCCUGUAGGCACCUGAGAUUUCCCUUGAGCCACCCCAGGCAUCUGUCCACUCUGGAGCAAGUCACAUUCUUUCCCAGCUUUCUGCCUUGCCUGUGCUACAUUCCUAGCCAGCUACACCCUUUCAAGUCACUCCCACUGUGGUGAUAGGCCCUGGCAUGCAAAACUACCUCUUCCUGUUGAGGCUUCCCACCAGGCUGUAGCAAGGCUGUAGCAAGACUGGCGUCAUGCCUUAUUCCCAGUGGAAGUGGAGACCCACUUUGGUGUUAUAUGCUGAGGCCUAGCAAACAGAUGUUUUCUGGAUUAUCAGUGUAACCUGGGAGAGAAGCUGAAAGAAACUUAAUGGCUCUAUUCCAGAGUUCCAUUUUUGGGGUCUUGAAUUGUCUUAGUGCUCAGAGGAUUCCAGGCAGGGGUCACAAAUUGUGAGGUCCGCAUGGCCAAGGUUUCUGUUACAGCUGCUCUGUUAGAGCCUUGUGACUCCCAAGCCUGCUCUGCAUACUCUGGAAUCCUCACUUUAUUUUUUUAUUUUUUGUGAAGACCUGCUUGCUAGUUUCACAGAGCAUGUGAUUUCCUCUGUAUAUAAAACAGAACUGAGCAUGCUACUGCUGAGCUUGGCAUGGUGGUGCAGGUCUAUAAUCCCAGUGUAGAAGGUGGAAGCAGAAGGAUUGGGAGUUCAAGGUCAGUCUAGGCUGCAUGAGGACCUGUCUAAAACAAUAACAAAACAACACCAAUAACAACAAACCCCAAGAAUUACCCUCCCAAACACACAAAACCCACACUAACAAUAUCUCCCUAUUACAAGAAUUAUUUAUAAGAAUUAUAUAUGUGCAAAGACCAAGGCAAAAGUCUAGCAUGUGAAGUACAUUUGUGUUAGCUUCAUCAGUAAUGAUUUUGCUCUCUUGAUCAAUUAUUCUGACAUGUGAGCCUUUGCUUUUCUGAAACUUUGCUGAAGGGGACAAUCCCCUAGACUUUGGACUUGACCACAGCUGCAGGGAGCUAACCAGGAAAGGUAAGAGUAGGAACAGGAGGGCCCCAUCUGGCAGCUUCUGCUCUUGACUCCUGAGAACUUUGCCUGGCAGGAUGACAGGCCUUGCACCACUACAUCUUUCAGUUUUCACAAGAGUACAGAACUUGGGAUUUUAAGAUGUAAUAUCUCCAAAGUUUUAACCAUUGGCUGAAAAGAUAGUAUAUUU
Molecule: long non-coding RNA, 2983 nt
Filed under: Mus musculus (house mouse)
Lineage: Eukaryota; Metazoa; Chordata; Mammalia; Rodentia; Muridae
Description: long non-coding RNA chr7:125715012-125717995
Source: RNAcentral